Apis cerana (Asiatic honeybee) is the source of this 10582-nucleotide long non-coding RNA. RefSeq lists it as uncharacterized. Lineage: Eukaryota; Metazoa; Arthropoda; Insecta; Hymenoptera; Apidae. The record is from RefSeq and is a predicted model, not a curated record.
GAGAUCGUCUGUCGGGUUCGGUUGGCAACCUAACGACACAAGGGUGGCUCUUACUUUUUCGUUUGCUUCGGAGCUUCCUGCCAUAUUGCCACUCAAAAAGGCAUCGUCGUCGUCGUCGUCUUCUUCUUCUUCUUUCUCCCGGAACCAUGGGCGUCGCCCUUUGGAUUCGCUCGAUUCCUUAAUGCGAUCUCUCCCCAUCUCUUCCUCCUCUCCUUUCUCCUUCGCCUCUCUUUCGUACGUUUCAGGGUCGAAGGAUCGAGAGAAUCGACGGAUAGGAUAGGAUUGGACUGGAGAAAGACGGGACAACGUUUUGGAAGACGCCGAUCUACAUUCGAGACCCAUCUCUCUCUUUCUCUUCCUUCCUUCUUUCCUUCCUUCGAGAAUAUUAGUCGAUAAAUUUUCGACGAGGAGCAGCGUCCACCAUAAUUUAAAAAAAAAAGAAACGAUCGAACAGCUUCAUCCAACCCUACGAGAGGAACGAGAUCGACGGCAAACAUCGGGCGUCCCUCGUUCUUCUCAUCUAUACUCCUCGAUGGCCGAACUUGGUUCGUGUUUCCCGACGACCCGCAUUUUUCUCGAGGAGGAGGAGGAGGAGGAGAAGGAGUAGUUUAUCGAGGAGGAGAGGUUUCGUCGAUAAAUCGACAAAUUUGUCGGACGAAUUUCGUCGCCGAUCGUUCCAACGACUCGUAACUCGCGAACGAAAUUAAAAUCAAACGAGGCGAGGGAAGGCUCGAUUCUUUCUGUUUUUUUAAUCCAUCGGAAUCUUCUUUUUCUUUUUAUUUUUUUCGUAUUGGAGCGAUCGGUUGGAGGGAUUUAUCUUUCAGCGGAGGGAUUAUCGUGGAAGGGAAAGCCACUUCGGGGGUCCGGGCAAAUUCUGUAAGAAGUUAAUCCACCAUCUUCGUUUAAUAAUAAGCGCACUUCCGGGGCACUGAAUUCGCAAAGCAUUCGAAGCAGAGCUCGAGAGUUUCUCCAGAAACGGCGGAGGAGCGGAGGAAGAAAGGAGGAGACAAAGAGAGGUGGAAAAAGAGAUGGGAAGGAGAGGGGAGGAGAGAGGAGGCUCGUAUAAAUUGUAGCUACCUCCCCCUCCCCCUCCGACGCCGUUAUCGAAUCUGCAAUUAAAAAGUUCCGCAACUAAUUUCAAUUUAAUCGUACGCCGUUCGCGCCGGCCAUUCUACACCCUCUUCCUCCGCUUCCGCCCCUCCGCCCGUCUCGCCUCUCCCCCUCUCUCGUCUCUGUUCGCUCGAAAAAGGCGUAGUCAGCCCAGUUUAGAAAUUUGUCCCGUUUAGUUUCCGAAACUGUUUCCCCCACCGCUCGCUUUUGUUUUGUUUCUCGCUCGCUCGUUCGCUCGACUUUCGCCCGUUUAUUUUUGUUUUGCCUCAGUCCUAUACUUGUUCUCCCGUUGAACGGAUCGUGCUCGCGCGUCGAUGCGUAUAAUUACGUCGGUGAAAUACGUCGCAAUUAAUCGGAUUUAUCGCAUCCGCCGCAUCAUCGCGCCAUUAUUUUUACUUUAAAAAAAAGUGGAAACGAAAGACGGCGAUUCUUCCCCUCCCCCGACGAAAAGAAGGAUAUCAACCGAACGACUUGUUGCAAUUGCGUCGUUCGCCACGCCCUUCCUAUCUUCUUAUCGAGACCAAGUUUCGAAAUGGUCGAUCGAAUAAUCAUCGAUUUCGAAUAUUCAACGUGAGAAUGAAUUUCGUCGUUAAGUGUAUGCAACGAUUAAUUGAAGAAAAAUCACGCGCUUCACGCGCGACAAGCCAUUGUGUUGAUCGAAAUAAAUAAUUGAUGAACGAGUCCGAUUCGUUUUGGACGUAACAGGAAAAAAGGGUAUCGACAAAGUGGGCCCGAAGGUUAGAAAGAGACGGGAUCGGAGUACAUCUUGGACAUCCGUAUGCGGUGGAUUUGCGUGUAUUCCGUCCCCCCGAAGGGAAAGUGGUGGCCACGCGGGCAUCGACGCUUCGUGAACGCAUUUCACAGCUUAAGAGAAGAUUAGCCAACCCUCUCGUAACGAUAGGAUUUGACCAUUGAGGGGAGAUUACCGACGCUGGCCGAGCCAUUCGGCGCGGAUCCAGCUUUAAGCGUGUUACACAAUUACGUUCUGGGAGUGUCUGGAACCGCACGGUCGAGUGAGUCGAGACGCCAUCUCUGGUUUCGUCUCUUCCUCCUCGUAGAAAGAGAAAGAGAGAGAGAGAGAAUGUAUGUUUUCACGUGGAAUAACGCGUUGUCGGGACUAAAGGGGAGGGGGUAAGUUGAAGUUUUGAUAAUCAGAUUUAUGAUGAGUGGAAUUACGCUGAGUCUUUCCAUAAUUACUUUGCGUGAUUUGGAUUAAUAUAACACGAUUCGUUUCGUGUAUUAUGUAUUUUCGAUUGUUCAUCACCGAUGAAGUAUUAAAUAUUACAUUGUUUCCUCGAGUGAAAUUAUGUAUACGUGUUUCCAAAAAAAAAAGAAAAAAGAAAAAUGAUAGAGAAAUUCGAGGCGAGCGAUACGUAAAUAUAUUUUGAAUAAGGAUUAACGAAGUGGUUUGUUAAAAUUAAAAACGUAUUCACUAGGUUUUCCGCGAUUGUUUAACAGGGUAAAGAGCGACGAAGCUGUUGUGUGACGCGUCGCGAUUUUAAUCGGGUACACUGCUAAUUGCACAACAACAAUACGGCGAAUCAGCGACGGGCAGAGUAAAUAACGCCGAUAACGCGAUAGCAUUUUAAACCGAUUUAUCGACAGAUUUAUUACCCCUUAUCGAUCGGCACAAUGAAAGCCCUAAAGCCCUUCCGCGUCCCCAUAAUCCGACCGUAAAACAAUUCCAUCAGCCUCUUCCACCAUUCAAUUUGUCCCCCAUUGUCCCUUCGCUUCCACGCUCUCGAAAAUCAUCCCAAGAUUUCUCCGCACGCAUCACGGAGAAGUAGAAAAGGGGAAAAAAAAUUGGAGUAGCCAUCGUUGUCUCGCGAGGCGCGAAACCCUCUCUUUCAGAAGCGGGACGAGAAAAAGAGAGAAAGGGAAAGAAGAGAAAAGGAGCACGCGGGGCGAAGAAUAGAGCGGUCGGUUCAAAGCGUUUCGCCGGAUUUCAAUGGCGACCCUUCGAAAGAUUCCCGGUUAUAUUCCCGUACGUUCGAACGUGGCUUUGGUUGGUGGUCACUUCCGCUCCUGAAAAGCUACCUCUUUCGAAAAGGAAAGAAAAGGAAAAAAAAGAGAGACCAGCCAGAUGGAGAGGAGGAAGAAGGUUGAGGGAAGGGGUUGAAAUUGGCGUGCGAACCGCUGUAUGGAGAUUGACAAAUUGAACGCGCGGAUAGAUUCGCGCGGAAUCUCGGUUAUCGCGCUAUAAAAAAAAAAAAAAAAACGCGUGUCGAGAAUAAAACUGUCCCGGAUUUAAAACCUCGAAUCGUUUCGUUAUGGUUUAUUCAUUCGGUUUACGACAACGUUGUACGAGUUCUCGUCCACUUUUGACACACUCGUGCGCCAAACGGAGGAGCGAGAGAAGUGAUCUCGAGCUUUCUUAAGGAGGAAAUUUGUCGUUUACGACGUGGAGGAGGAUGAGGAGAUAGAUUUUAUCGAAGUAAAAUUCCUCGCUCGUAAAAAAUAGUUCUACUAUUUUUACGAAUAAAUUUCGUCUCGUAGAGAGAGAGAGAAGGAGAGGGAUCGGAAGAAUUUUACCUUCGGACGAUCUUGUAGACGGCAGCGUAAUUAAGUUGUCGAAGCGAAAUUCUUUGUGUUAUCUUUAGUAAUAAAUCAUAGAAAACUCCGAGAAGAAACUUCUCCUUUCCUUCCCGGAGAAACAGUGGAGGACAACCCCUCUCCUCGCGUUGAUCCCGAGGAAGAACGGGAGACGGGUGGAGUUAGGCCACAUCUCGGUUACUUCUUAUUAGCCCGGAACAAGUCCCGAGACAAUCCGUGACUCGAGGAUUCCCGAGGAGAAGUCUCUUUGAAACUACUCGUCCAAACUAUCGAAAAACUCGUCAUCCUUGGAGGGAAAGGAUCCUUUGGUCAAUUAGCGAGGUGAUUCGUCGUCGUCAAUUAGGAUCGAAUCCACGGCAAGAAAUUCCGGUGGAUUUCCAUUCCAUAUCCAUAUCCAUCUCGGCGACGAAUAAAAAUUCGAAUAUUCAUCGCGAGAACUCUCUCUCUCUCUCUCUCUCUACAUCCCUUCUUCGAAGGAUCGAAGAAAGAAUUCGUAAUUGAUGAUUUCCAAUUAGAACGAAUCGAAGAGAAGUUAGGAUAGAAUUUUUAGAGGCAAAUUGGCUUGUUCUUCGAGUGAAUUUUCCGAAAGAAGAGGAGGAAAAAGCGGAGGAGACUGCGACUUAGGAGAUUUAAACGGAGGAAAAAGGGGUCGAUCGCGUAAGAGGGAAGGUGACGGGUCGGAUAUGGCCCGUUGGGUCAAUUGGAUUGCCGCAACUUUGUUUCCCGGCAUAGAGACGAGUUAAGGGGGACAGGGUGGAUGGGGCAGGCCUUCCCGUAACCGUACUGCUGCCUCCGGCUCGCGAAAACGUCGAAUUAACGACAUUAUACCUCCUAACCCCCGGUAAUGGGUGUAAGAAGGUUAGCUCGGCUUUUUGUCUCUCGUGCAUCCCUCCUCUCGGGUAUCGAGAAAUCCGGCUCUUCUCUUCUCUUCUCCUCGCUCGUCUCUUCUUUCCUCCUCCUCCUCCUUUUCCUUCCUUUCUCCCGAGGAAUUCUCUUCCCUCUUCCCUCUUUCUCUUCCGUUUCUUUUUCUUGUCCGGCAGAAGAGGAGGAGGAACACGAGGUCGUUCCUCCCCUCCUUUUUUUUUCAUCCCUCUCGAACCGUUAAAGGCGAAGUUUCAGAGGUUUCAGAAGGAGGCAUCCGAACUCCACGCACUCUCCGACUUCGACACCUUCCAUCUCCCCUCCCCUCUCCCCUUGCCUGCAAAGGGAAGGACGGCAGGAUCCCUAUCGGUAGCCUCGAGUAAUUAACUUUGGAGGGUACAAAAGUUAAGAGAUAGGAGAAGCUGGUGGCCCCCGCGGCUAGUUUCGCCUCUCUCCCGUCUUGCCUUUCUUUUUUUUAUCCUUACCAUCGGGGAAGUAAUUAUUUCUUGUAUCUUUUUUUCCUUCCCGCUUCUCUCUCUCUUUCUCUCCUCUCUCUUUUUCCUCCUUCUUUCUCGUGGCUCCCUUCAUCUUUCGGGAUCGCGGAAAGGCGAGAUAGAGGGUACGAUUGGUGAAUUGUUGCCAGAUUCUUCCUUCUUUUUCUUCUUUUUUUCUCUCAAACUAUUCUUUCUUCUGUUACUCUUACGUCUGGAUUUAACUCGUUUUGCCCGAAAGCCGGUUACAGGGUAUGCUUAAGUCGAGCAGUGACUUGGUCGGAUCUGUUAUUUCAGAAUAUUCCACUGGAACUCCACUUAAUAACUCGUUCGGUUUUUCUCCUAGUUUUCCUCUCCCCUCCCCUUUUUGCUUUUACACGUUGCUUCGAAUUUGGAUAUUAUUUUAAUAAGAUUGAAAAUUUCGAAUUCCGACAACGAAGGUAACGAAGAAUCUUCGAGUUUUUGUGAGAAACGAGGAAUUCGGAGGUUCGCGAAACCGAGCUCAUAAUAUAAUCGCGGCUGAUGGAAUCCAUGGAUCGAUUCGCAGAAACCGCGAAGAUUCGCGGCACAAAGGGAUCAAAUCUCGUCUCUGGAACAAUAAUUUCAGUUGCGCGAAUACACACGAAUACGCGAAUAUCGUUAUUAAAAUACGCCGCACUCUCCGCAUGCCCGCCGCGAAAAUACGCCGCAACGAUGCUGAAAUAUUCGAUCGGCCGUCUUCCGCGAGCAAUAUCUGCAUAGGCGUUGCAGAUCGCGGUUAAACCAGUGGAAGAAAGAAUUUCCCCUGUUGUUUAACCAUUUUCGAAAAAUUGGAAAUUCUCUCAAGCUAAUCGAGAUGAGGCGAACGAUUCGAUCGAUAUAAUACUCUUCUCUUCUCUGUUGCUACUGGAUCAUUCGGAUUUAUAUUUUAUAUAUUACUUGGAUUCAGAAUAAUUGAUCACUGAUCAUACUCGUAUUCUCGAUUCGUGGAUCAACGAGCUCAGCGUCUGCAUCUAAGAGAUGUGUUUUUCGGAAAUGAAGCUGUCCAACGUUUCCGUUUAAAUUUUUUAUAUUAUCUCAAAAUCUUGCCGUUCUCUCGGACAAGCGAUCUCCGUUAGCAAUUAGGAAUCCGCGAAGAAUCGGAUGAAAAGAUGUACAGAGACGGGAGUAGGCAGAGUCGUUCGAGUAACCGACAAAGAGGCGUCCGUUGCAAUUACCAGGGGAGGAGGAAAGGGGGAUGGUCGAAGGCAACAACCAAGAUAUUUAAAUCUUCCGCAAGGCGGGCCGUCUGUAGGGCGAAGGAUAAGCAGAGAUAACCUUAAGACGGGGACACGAGAAAGUGAGAAGGCAGAAGCCUCGAAAGCUCGAGCUCAACUCUCUCGGUCAAACUUUUAAAAGGAUUUCGUCGACUCGAUACCGAGAUCUCACUCUCUGUCUCUCUCUCCCCCUCUCUUUCUCUUCAGAUCUACCCUCUGCUCCCUACCCUCUGUUUGAUUUACGAAACUUCUCGACGACGUUUUCGCAAUUUUAUGCAGACAAACCGGUGGAGGGUCGAACGCGUCAGCGUUUCUCAAAACGCUGGAUCCUGGACGACUAUCCAGGGAGUCGAGGGAGGACGGCCUCUCAAGGUUAGGGUGGAUGAUUCGUUGUUUCGACCCUUUCGAAUAACAGGAUAUAACGAUAGGUAUUCGAUCGAUGCUCGUCGAAGAUAAAUUUUAAGAAUAUUUAUUACUUUCUACUCCUUUCUUUUUUCGUAUUCACUUUUAUAUAUAUAUAAAGAUCCGUGGAAGUGUUUAGUGGAUCGAAACUGAUCCAAAUCCGAAGGCCAAAUGCGUCUUGGGGCAAGUUGAGAUUGAUUCAGCGCAAAUGUAUGCACCAUUCGAAGGAGCUGACCGCCGAAUUUCCAUCCCUUUCCCAAAGCUUUCGUGACCGAUCAUCCAUUAACGCCCGGACCGGGUAGACUAUCCAACGUCGAAACUUAACCUCCACGACGACCGUCCUUCGAAGCUUCUUCCACCCCCUUUCCUAAAUACAGCCAGCCGAGAUUAUCGAUCUUGCGAGCCGCCGCUGCAAUUUAAUCCUUGGAAGAUCGAUCCUGGAUAUUAUAUCGUUGGAUCGCUUAUGCGUCUAAUAGCGCUUGAAGCGUUCUCUCAAAUUUUGAUAGAUGACGAGGCGGAUUGGAGAUUUCUUAUCCAAACUUUUUGAUAUCCAACCGCCGAGAAAUAAUAAGCCGAUUUUAAUUAUUAUAAGGGAUCCCUGAAUGAUUCAUUCGGAUCUCUCCACAAAGGCGGGGUUAAUUAAUUUGCAAGAUCUUAAUAAACGCAGAUCGUCCACUCAUCGACAAGGAUAAUUACCUCGGCAAUCCAGAAUCUUGGAAAGUUUCGAGAUUCCUCGUUCGAGCUCUCCUCGGAUAAAAAGUGACGCAAAGUUGCUCGUCAACGGAUACUUUGCGUGUCCUUUGGAGUUUUCUCUGUUGGGACGAGCAACGGCGUAUGCGGCACCGUCCAUUAUCGACCUCUUCUAAUCGGAUAAGUUCGAUCGGUUUGUUGAAUACAGUUGCCGUAUUGUAAUAAGCUUACAGCCGGGAACAGUUUCUCAACUUGCGGACCGAUCCCCGUCCCGGCUAUUCGAUUACACGACAACCGUGUACACGUUUCGAGCUACUCAGCGGUCAAAGGGAAGGCGAAGCUUGGAUUUUUCUGACAUAGACGACGGAUCCUCCUCCCUCGAGGUUUCCGUUAUUCCGGUUAAAUACCGAUCCGAAGCUUUCUCCAAAAGCGUUCUCCCUCCUCCUUUUUAUCUUUGCCUCUUUCGCCUCGUUCGUUCGAGGUAAUUGCAGAUAGCCGCGAAAAGUUGAUAAAAAGGAAAAAGUUGGGGAAAGAAGAGGGGCAAUAUUUGGAAAGAAAGGCACGUGUUCCUUUUUCAUUCCCGAAAAGAGAAUUUCUCAAAAACUGCCUCCAAAAAUUAGCCGGAUCGGAUGUCCAAGAAUUUCGAGGAGAGCCCAAUUAAAUUUCCGUCAAUUACUCGUAGCGCAAACUACUUGGCGACCCGCGUUACACAGUCGUACUUUUCCUCACAAAGAGGGAACGGGACUUGAGAAACGCUGGCAGCGGGUUUCUCAAAGGGUGUGUUCCGAGGAAUCGGGACAACGUAACCGCUGGUCUCUCUAAGGAGCAAAAUAUCAAAGGUUCGGCGAUGGUUGCACGAUUUCUCUGUCUCUGUCCCUGUCUCUGUCUCGGGUUUCUCGAGCUGGAGAAUUCUGCCGCUUCUUACGUAACGUGGAACGACGUAUCGAAGGAAGAAAGUGAAGGAGAGCGAGUCGUAAGAGGUCGAGCUCAUUGGCGGCGUUUAAUUAGCGAAGGCGCGAAUUCAGUGUGGCCAGGGCCGUUGGAUCGACAAAUUCCAACUAAUUUUCACAGUCGGGUUCCUUUAAUUAGAAAGCCGGCCCUGAGAUUUGCCACGUGAGAUUGGCUUUCCUCCCCCCGCUGUGUUAUGGAAUCACCGGCGAUCGCUGGCCGAGAGAAUAUAGAUCUGCUUACAUCACUCGCGCUCGUUUAAAGGGAAACCUUUAAAUCGGAAGACUCAUGAUUAUUCUCAGAGCGACGUUUCAUCGUGAUAUUUGUACGUGGAAUUGAACCGUUGAUUGAGAGAUUGGUGUAAAGAUCGGUUGUAAGAGUAAAUUUUCAAAUUUUCCGAUUGUUUAAAGCUACGUUUUCUUGGUAGAACGUUUUCUUUUGAACGAACUUACUUUUUCUUUAAUUUGUCAUACUAUCUGGUUUUGUUAGAGGCAAUAAUGUAUUCGAUGAGAAGGAGAAUCUCGAAAGAAUCAAUCAAGAGGAUUGUUAUGGAACGAAGAAUAGAAGAAUAAAACGAGAAUUUACUAGUCCAAUAGUUGAUAAAUUUGUUGGAUCGUCUCGAAUAUCAUUCUUAUCGUUCCAAAACUCGUUCAUUCGCAAAAUACCUCCCUUCGCUACUUCUCCUUCCCCUUUAUUGGAAUGAUUCAAUCUCCCCUCUUUACCUCAGUCAUCCUAUAUUUCCUGACAAUUAAACAGUCGGAAAAUCGGCUUAUGCAAGGUCGCUUGAAAAUAACCUGCUCGCGGUCUUGCCUUUUCUUAUUUCAUCACUUCUAUAUUUAAGCUUUUUCCUGUUUGCUCAUUGCUCAUUCCUCGAACCUCGAACCAGACAUUUUCUUGAAACGAAAUAAAUCAUGAACGGAUGAGCGAAUAAAUAUUUAUCGAAUCUCGAAUAUCAUUUUUUUCUUUUCUUUUUUUUUCCCCCUCCCCAAUUAAACGGUUUUUUCUCUAUUAUUUCCCUCGUUGCAAAUUCGUUGGGGAGGGAAAUUCGUAUUGGAAGAAAUGUUAUUGCGAAAAUUAAUUCCCUCCCCCUAUUAAAAUCAUUCGGUUUUAACGUUUUCGUUGAUAUUUUAAUUGGCGAGAUUACAUUACGUUCCGUUACGUUAUCAUACAAUAACGACAAUUUCAAUUGGAAAAAGCCACCGAAUUAAUUUCCACUCUUCCCCUCCCCUAAUAUCUCGCACGUAACCCCCGAAUCCAAUCCAGCAGAGAACAGAGCUCUCGAAACGUUGAUCCUAUUUCAAGGCGGCGCUCAUCUCGCCGAUUCAAUCUCCACCGAUUUCCACACACUCUCGCUCUCUCCUUGCGGCGUGAGGCUCGUCGUGUGCCACCCUGGAUCGCGAGAAGGAAUCAGGAACCGUGUAUCGCACACUUGCCGGUCAAGCUUUCGUCCCAACGCGCGAUCGAAAAUCGGGAACGGGAAAGAAGGAUCCGUUCGAUAUUCGAUUGGCUCGCCCAAUUUAUUCCCCCAACAAUUCUCCAAUGAGAAAAUGGAAUAUGAAAAAGAGAAAUUCUCGAUCGUUCCCCUCGAUUACAGAGAUUUUUUUUUUUGGUCGUCGAUUCUAUCGGGGAAUAAAAGGGGGUUAAUAUCGAGGCAAAAAUCCUUUUCUUUCGUGUAUCUCGUCGCUUCCACCCCCUCCUUCCUUUUUUUUACACCGGCAAUAAUUCACUUCCCACAGCCACUUGACGACGUGUAUCUUUCGGUUCUUUCCCCUUUUUUUCCACUCUCUCUCCCUCGAUCGUCGAGAAUUUAACGCGUAUCCCACAUUGUAAAGUCUAAUGAAUCUCGACUUACUCUUGGAACGGUCGAUGAAUAUUUUUUCAAAUGUCUUUCGAUUCUUUUUUUUUUUUUCGAAUUAGGAAAUUUGCGUGAUGUUUCGAAGAAAUGGGAAUACGAGCACUUUAAUUAACCCGAAUAUGGCAUAUGGGAACGGGAGGGAAGACAUUGGUCGGAGGAAUCGAUCGUACCGUGUGCCGUUAAUCAUGGCCAAUGUUCGUUGAGCAGGGGCACUGUCAAACGUGAGCCAGAAGCCGAGAAAAUUGUCGGCGUGGUAACUGUCCGUGCAAUUGAAAGGAGCUCGCGUUUCGUCGAGUCAAUAUCUUGGAUCUUAACUUGAUUAAACUUCCGGUCUGCUUUACGAAUCCAUCGAAAAUGAUGGAAAUGAAGGGAUAGGUUGUACAAGCGAUUCCUAGCUUCUCCAUGAUCCUUCGAUAGUUCACGCGCGCGAAUCUAUC